ACCGCCUCCCGUGAGAAGGAAGAAAGGUCGACCACGAUCAACACGUAUUCGUAAUAUAAUGGACGAAACAAGUGGGCGACGAACAAAAUGUAGCAUUUGUAAGCAGGGAGGUCAUUAUAGAAACACCUGUCCACAGAAUACAGAGAUAGCACAACAAGGACGUCGACAUGGCAGAUCUAGAGGAGGCGGGACCAGUUGAUGAGUCCGUCCUGACAGAGCAGCAUCUCCAUAGGUCUUCAUUUAUCACGAUUGAGGGAUAUCGCGGGGUACAGUUCAUAGAGCAUGGCCGCAAAUUAAAC
This is a long non-coding RNA of Ananas comosus (pineapple), 299 nucleotides long. RefSeq lists it as uncharacterized. The record is from RefSeq and is a predicted model, not a curated record. Lineage: Eukaryota; Viridiplantae; Streptophyta; Magnoliopsida; Poales; Bromeliaceae. The transcript is spliced from 3 exons.